UACGGAGGAUGCAAGCGUUAUCCGGAAUGAUUGGGCGUAAAGCGUCCGCAGGUGGCUAUGUAAGUCUGCUGUUAAAGAGUGAGGCUCAACCUCAUAAGUGCAGUGGAAACUACAUGGCUAGAGUGCGUUCGGGGCAGAGGGAAUUCCUGGUGUAGCGGUGAAAUGCGUAGAGAUCAGGAAGAACACCGGUGGCGAAAGCGCUCUGCUAGGCCGCAACUGACACUGAGGGACGAAAGCUAGGGGAGCGAAAGGG
This 253-nucleotide ribosomal RNA is filed under the name uncultured bacterium. Its description in RNAcentral is "partial 16S ribosomal RNA". It matches the Rfam family "Bacterial small subunit ribosomal RNA", at positions 524 to 776 of the family's 1533-position model. The record is from RNAcentral.